This 468-nucleotide ribosomal RNA is filed under the name uncultured bacterium. Its description in RNAcentral is "partial 16S ribosomal RNA". It matches the Rfam family "Bacterial small subunit ribosomal RNA", at positions 28 to 507 of the family's 1533-position model. The record is from RNAcentral.
GACGAACGCUGGCGGCGUGCUUAACACAUGCAAGUCGAACGGAAAGGCCCUGCUUUUGUGGGGUGCUCGAGUGGCGAACGGGUGAGUAACACGUGAGUAACCUGCCCUUGACUUUGGGAUAACUUCAGGAAACUGGGGCUAAUACCGGAUAGGAGCUCCUGCUGCAUGGUGGGGGUUGGAAAGUUUCGGCGGUUGGGGAUGGACUCGCGGCUUAUCAGCUUGUUGGUGGGGUAGUGGCUUACCAAGGCUUUGACGGGUAGCCGGCCUGAGAGGGUGACCGGCCACAUUGGGACUGAGAUACGGCCCAGACGCCUACGGGAGGCAGAAGUGGGGAAUAUUGCACAAUGGGCGGAAGCCUGAUGCAGCAACGCCGCGUGCGGGAUGACGGCCUUCGGGUUGUAAACCGCUUUCGCCUGUGACGAAGCGGGAGUGACGGUAAUGGGUAAAGAAGCACCGGCUAACUACGUG